This 365-nucleotide ribosomal RNA is filed under the name uncultured eukaryote. Its description in RNAcentral is "partial 18S ribosomal RNA". It matches the Rfam family "Eukaryotic small subunit ribosomal RNA", at positions 592 to 976 of the family's 1831-position model. The record is from RNAcentral.
CAAUAGCGUAUAUUGAAGUUGUUGCAGUUAAAAAGCUCGUAGUCGGAUUUUGGCUGAGAACGAUCGGUCCGCCGUUAGGUGUGCACUGAUUGGUCUCAGCUUCCUGGUGAGGAGGUGUGCUUCACGGCCACUUAGUCACCGUGGUUACUUUGAAAAAAUUAGAGUGUUCAAAGCGGGCUUACGCUUGAAUAUAUUAGCAUGGAAUAACACCAUAGGACUCCUGUCCUAUUUCGUUGGUCACGGGACGGGAGUAAUGAUUAAGAGGAACAGUUGGGGGCAUUCGUAUUUCAUUGUCAGAGGUGAAAUUCUUGGAUUUAUGAAAGACGAACUUCUGCGAAAGCAUUUGCCAAGGAUGUUUUCAUUGA